Molecule: ribosomal RNA, 251 nt
Filed under: uncultured bacterium
Lineage: Bacteria
Description: partial 16S ribosomal RNA
Rfam family: Bacterial small subunit ribosomal RNA
Source: RNAcentral
UACAGAGGGGGCAAGCGUUGUUCGGAAUUACUGGGCGUAAAGGGCGCGUAGGCGGCCUGUUAAGUCGAACGUGAAAUCCCCGGGCUCAACCCGGGAACUGCGUCCGAUACUGGCAGGCUUGAAUCCGGGAGAGGGAUGCGGAAUUCCAGGUGUAGCGGUGAAAUGCGUAGAUAUCUGGAGGAACACCGGUGGCGAAGGCGGCAUCCUGGACCGGCAUUGACGCUGAGGCGCGAAAGCCAGGGGAGCAAACG